UAUUAGAUCCUUUCCAAGUCUAUCUUAAGCAUCACUUUUACUACCGUAAAACUCACUGGUCAUUCUUUCGUCAUUAUACGCUUUUUAACAGAUGCGUUGCUGCAACUUAUUCACAUGGGUCCAAUUUCAUGUAUAUUUUCCGCUGGUUAAUGAUUUCAGUGAUUAAUGAAUGCCCGAUUUUGAUUUUGCAUCAAGUCCAAGUCAUAUCCUUGCAUGGACAUGUUUUAGAGCUGGUGUAAUAUCUGUACGAAAACCAUUGCUUCAAGGCAAGUGAAAGAAUAUAGUUUUGUAAAGCUUCCUCAUAUACAGAUAGAAUGUGUGUUUGAGAAGUAACCCAAAAGUUGCAGCAGGAAUAAUGGCUGGUCUCAUUGGGCCAGCCAGGUUUCCUUAGAUAUGAAAUGAUAGACGUUUUUUUGUAUUAAUCCAAAAUUCAACAAGUAUUUCACUGAUGCGACGAGAUGGAGUACUGUUCAUUACCUCAGAUUUUGGUGCCUCUACCCUACGCUGUUGUUGUAAAUCAAGACCUGCCUCAUGUCUGUACGAUUGUUCAAACUUCAGAGCUUUCAGUCGCAAGUUCCAACUCAGUUCUCUUCUCUCGGAUUUGAUACGCGGGACAUCGUUUUGCAUCCAUCUGCAAAACUUUAUGUCCUACUUCCCGAUUGAUGCCAUUGUAUAAGAAAGCAGUACUAGUAGAGUGUCUCUGCUUCUUCGGGUCAUAUAUGCUGGGACAAAAAGCAAAUAAGGAUGGAGCUAAAAAACUGCUCAAAAAAAGAUGGAGUGGAGUGAAAUGUUUUCGCUCUUUCUAAUACUAAUAUAUAUAUUACGGCACUUGGUAAGUUUUCAAUCUGCUGAUUAUGCUAGUGUGGAUUCCAAUGAAGCCCAGAUACAGCAGUGCAGGAAACAAAAGCAGGGAAUUGAAGAUGGAAGAGUAAAAAGAGGAGGAGGAGGAGGAGGAGAUGACAUGGAAAAAUAAAUGAAUUGGGGGAAGUGAGGGAAGGAAAGGGGUGGUCAGGGAUCAGUCGUCACUCGACAAAUAGCCUGACAGCCUGGCUUUUGCUUUGGUUGUAUGGGAUGGCAUGGGUGAAGCAGGCCAGACCCUCUCUCUCUUUCUCUCAUUGAGUCAUCAAUUCCUGAACCUGAGGCAUCAUAUGAUAGCAUUAAUGAAUGCCUUCAAUGAUCUGAGCCCUUUUCUCUUUCUUGACUUCUCUCUCUAGACAUCACAGUAGAGUCAAUAUCAGCAUAGUGUCGCAUUCCAGGCCAUGGAUUCUUGGAUUUUCUACUCUCUUUUGUUUUACCCUUGGCUCUGGUUUGCUGGAAAGUGGAAAGUUACA
This is a non-coding RNA of Coffea arabica (coffee), 1331 nucleotides long. The record is from RefSeq and is a predicted model, not a curated record. NCBI's taxonomy places the organism in Eukaryota, Viridiplantae, Streptophyta, Magnoliopsida, Gentianales, Rubiaceae.